UUUUUUUUUUUAAUUUUUUUUUCAAUGUUUUUUAUUUAUUUUGGGACAGAGAGAGACAGAGCAUGAACGGGGGAGGGGCAGAGAGAGAGGGAGACACAGAAUCGGAAACAGGCUCCAGGCUCUGAGCCAUCAGCCCAGAGCCCGACGCGGGGCUCGAACUCACGGACCGCGAGAUCGUGACCUGGCUGAAGUCGGACGCUUAACCGACUGCGCCACCCAGGCGCCCCGAAGAGUAGAACUUUUUAGCAGAACUUUCAGGUUGUUACCAAGAGUUUCUUUCCUAGAUUAAGUUUUCUUUUUGGUAGAAUAGAAAUUUGUUUUCUUUGAUGAUAUCUGUAAGCUAGCAGUCAGGCUUAGUUUUAGUUAAGGACUGAAGAGUAAAAUAGGUGCAUAUGUAAAGAUUUUGUUGCUACAAAUGAUAUUUGAAGUAAGUAAUUCAUUCUGUUUAUUCAUACUCGCUGUAAAAUAAGAUAAUUUCACAAAAUCUAUAUCCAAGUAACAUUAUAUACAGUUUUUGUUUUCCUAAAGCUUCAGAGUUAGACCCCAAACUGCUAUUUCCUCUAAGGUUAGAUGGGUUCAUCAGAAUAAGAAUGGACUCCUAAAUUUGAGGAGCCUGAGUGGGAUUCCUUCUUCUGUGUGUGUGUGUGUGUGUGUGUGUGUGUGUGUGUUUAAUGUUUAUUUACUUUUUGAGACAAUGCAAGAGACAGAGUGCAAGCAGCAGAGGGGCAGACAGAGGGAGACACAGAAUCUGAAGGGCUCCAGGCUCUGAGCUGUCAGCCCAGAGCCUGACACGGGGCUCGAACUCACAAGCCACGAGAUCAUGACCUGAGCGGAAGUCAGACCCUUAACCGACUGAGCCACUCAGGUGCCCCUGGGAUUCCUUCUUUUGUAACCAUGAACAUUAUUUCAUUAGAACAGUGUCACUAAUAUUCACUAAUGACAACUUUUUCCUCUAAGGAUUUUCAUCUUAUUUCAAAAGUGAUUUUGAUUCUCCUUCUCCAAAGUAUAUUAGAGUAUUGUGGUGUAUUAAUUAAGGUUACUUUAUUUUCAUUGAAAUGAAUGAACUAUGCAGAAUGAAUUAGAAAAUGAGAAAUAGCAUUUUGAAGAUUUGGAUACAGUUUUUAGUAUUUUCCCUAAGUUUGCCUUUGCCUGAAAUUGUUUUUAAUAUUUAUCUAGGCUCUGAUUCUUAUAUAGGGUUACUUCUUAACUCAUUACCAAAAAAAAAAAAAAAAAAAAAAAUGUGUGUCUUUCGAAAAGAAAAAUAAAAUCAGCAAAGAGAAAGUAAGGUAAAAUACUUUUUUCCAGGGGGCAAAGCAAAAAGAGAUACCUCAUUUUUUUUUUAAUUUUUUUUAACGUUUUUAUUUAUUUUUGAGACAGAGAGAGACAGAGCAUGAACGAGGGAGGGGCAGAGAGAGAGGGAGACACAGAAUCCGAAGCAGGUUCCAGGCUCUGAGCUGUCAGCACAGAGCCCGACGAGGGGCUCGAACUCACGGACCGCGAGAUCAUGACCUGAGCUGAAGUCGGCCGCUUAACCGACUGAGCCACCCAGGCGCCCCAUACCUCAUUUUUUUGAGGUUAAUGUUAACACUGUAAAGCAAACUUUACCAGUUGCUUAGGAAAAGGAAAUUGUUUUUCCUGGUACUAAGUCUGAAAUUCUUACAUAGGCGUUUAUAAAAGAGGUAUCAAGGGGCGCCUGGGUGGCUCAGUAGGUUAAGCGUUAAGCAUCCAACUCGGGCUCAUGAUCUCGCGGUUUGUGAGUUCGAGCCUCAUGUCGGGCUUUGUGCUGACAGACAGCUCAGAGUUUGGAGCCUGCUUCAGACCCUGUCUCCCUCUCUCUGCUCCACCCCUGCUUGCAUGUGCUCAUGCUCGCUCUCUCUCUCUCUCUCUCUCUCUCAAAAUAAAUAAAUAAACAUUUUUUAAAAAAGGAGAUAUCAAGUAGUAUAGUAAGUAAAUAUAGGGAAUUUUGAAUGUCAUAACUCCUGUUCACAAUUUGGUAAAAUGAUUAUUUAAAGAAUAGCACUGUCAGCAAAAAUACAGUGCAACAAUAAAUAUAAUUAAAAAUUUUCUAGUAGCCACAUUUAAAAAGUAAAAGAAAUGGUUGAAAUUAAUGUUUUUAACCUGAUAUAUAAAAAUAUUAUCAUCUCAGCAUAUAAUUAAAAUAAAAUUAUUAAUGGUAUUUUACAUUUUUUUCAUACCAAGUCUUUGAAAUCUAUUUACAGCACAUUUCAAUUUAGGUGUUAAAUUUUCAUGAGAAAUAAUUCAGUCUGUAGUUAGAUUACAUAAAAUUUACACUGAUAAUUAUCAGUGAAGUAAUAUAAUACUUCAAUAUGAAGUAUAUUAAAUAUGAAUUGGGAAAUACAGCCCCACAGUAGGAAAAAAGAUAGAUGUUAUUGUGAAGCCUAGAACUGCUUCAUUGACACGCAAGCUACUGCGUAAAGCAUCAGCAGUCACAAAACAAAAAACUGAAUUAGGAGUAUGCACGUGUAUCACUGGGUCAGGAGCGAUGACAAAGGCAAAGACAGCAUGUCUUUUCAGGGAAUGGCCAUGUGAUACACAGAGACAGAUUUCAGAAUGAAGAAAGUGGUUUUGUUUUGUUUUAAGUUUAUUUACUUAGCGUGCAUGGGAGGGGCAGAAUGAGAGGGAAAGAGAGAGAAUCCGAGCAGGCUCCGCACUGUCUGUACAGAGCCCAGAGCAGGGCUUGAACUCAGGAACCACGAGAUGAUGACCUGGGCUGAAACCAAGAGUCGGAUGCUUAACCGACUGAGCCACCCAAGCACCCCAAAGAAAGUGCUUUUUUAACGCAAUAUGUAUUUAAGCUAAAGAACUCCUCACUUAGUGUAUAAUGAAGCAAAGAUUUUGGGAUAAUUAAAAACGCAUUAGACUGGGAUCAGUAAAUACAUGGCAUCGUUGCGCUACAGCUUUGCUCCCCCGGCCCCCGAGCCCUACCCGUUGCCCAUGAGAGACGUGGAUAAUUAAUCACAACUCAUGUUAUACUGAGCCCAGAGAUGGCUGUGGAAUCCCUCCUAAUGGAGCAUUUUUGGCAUCUGCUAUAAAUCAGUAGGAAUUGGCAAGAGUAAUACACCCCAUUUUCCAGCCUGGCAUUAGAUAUUUUCUGGUUAUUAUUACUAUUUUUUUCUAAAGUAGACCAAAGUAAAGGUUAGUAUGUCAAUCAGUAUGAAAGAGGAAGUAAGUACCCACUAAUAGAGUAAAGGACUUUUUUCCCUCCAUGACACAGUUUUAUCUAAUUGAAUGACUUGCAUGUAAUUUACUAACAGACGAUACAAUCUGCUAAUUAGGAUGCACACCAGGUUAUUCUAGAAUGGGUCCAUAUUUUCCCACAUUUUAUAAAUUUUUAUAACUGUAUAAUGUUCCAUCAGCUUGGUCUGCCUAUUUUUCACCUUUUUCUUUUUUUGGAUAUUAAAUCUAUACAUUGUUGGGGUUUUUUAGAAGUAACAUUUUUAUAUGUCAUAGCUUCAUUUCCUCUGCUUCUUUUGUUUUUUUAACAACUUACAUCAAAUGAAUUUAUAGGAGUGGGAUCUAUCAGUAAAAGAGGGGGACCGGUUUUUACAGAUCAUGACUGCUAAUCACCAAAUGACCAUCCAGAAGAGUUUACACCAUCUAAGCUCCUCUUGCUCCUGAACUCUGUCCACCUAUCCGCUAUCAGAGCUUACUCAUUCAUCUAGGGUCUGGAACUUAAACCUCUCCUCAUUCACUUAAUUAGGGCCAGAAGGGGAAAUGAGCUGUAAUUUAAACCUAUCAGUCAUAUUACUUUGUUGGUAUCUUUUGUCAAAUAUAUAGUAGAAGAAAAUGUCAAAAACUGGUAUUUCGAAAGACAUUUUAAAAUUGUGAAAUUCAGGGGCGCCUGGGUGGCUCAGUCGGUUGAGCGUCCGACUUCAGCUCAGGUCAUGAUCUCGCGGUUUGUGGGUUCCUGCCCCGUGUCAGGCUCUGUGCUGACAGCUCAGAGCCUGGGGCCUGCUUCCAAUUCUGUGUCUCCCUCGCUCUCUGCCCCUCCCCCGCUCAUGCUCUGUCUGUCUCUCUCUGUCAGAAAUAAACAAACAUUAAAAAACAUAAAUAAAUAAAAUUGUGAAACUCAGUGAUUUCUCUGUUUGGAUUGACUGUAGGGUGUUUGGAGAAGUAAAACCCUUGUAAGAUCACAAAUACAAACAUGAUAAAGAAUGACUGUUCGGCAGUUGGAUUUUGAAAUAAACUCUUGAAACCUUUAGAUAGUAAUAUAGUCGUUCCUCCCCUUUUGCCCUCAUCCCAGAAUCAUUUUAGGAAUUUUUAUCCUACACCCAUUUAUCCUGCCAUUGUAUAAAAUACUUUUACUCUUUGGACUUUUCUUUCGGUACCCACAGUUGUGGCAAACGUUGUCCUUUAAGAUUUGGUCUUAUUUUGAAAGCAAGCAAAAGUCAUUCAAAACAAAGUCUGAAAUAAAAUGAUGAUAAACUCUAUAGUCUUUGUAUAUGGAAGGAAAUAAAAUAAAAUACAGUAGUGUAAUUUAUUGAGUUUAAAUACCAUCAAAACAUUUUUACUUACCCAUAGAAUAUCUUUAGUUAUUCUUAUUUCAAAUGGUUUGAAAUAUCCUUUUUUGCUGUGUAGUUUAACCCAUGAAGUUACUCGUUGCCUUGGAUUUCUCCAAAAUGUGGUCUUGAUGAUUCAACAGAUUAAAGUGCUUAGUCUAGUGUUUCUCAACCAAGAUGAUACUGCCCCCCUAGGAGACAUUUGGCAAUGUCUGGGGACAUUUUUUUGUUGCCAUUACUUCCUAGAGGGUGAGGUGCCACUGGCAUUUAGUAGAGAGAGAGACUAGGGAUGAUACUACACAGCCUCCAGUGCACAAAACAGCCCCUCACAGCACAAAAUUGUCCAUUCUAAAAUCUUCAGUCAUGCCGAGGUUAAGAAACCCUAUCUCA
Acinonyx jubatus (cheetah) is the source of this 4910-nucleotide long non-coding RNA. RefSeq lists it as uncharacterized. The record is from RefSeq and is a predicted model, not a curated record. The transcript is spliced from 2 exons. NCBI's taxonomy places the organism in Eukaryota, Metazoa, Chordata, Mammalia, Carnivora, Felidae.